CAGCCGCCGCGGUAAUACGAGGGGGGCAAGCAUUGUUCGGAAUUAUUGGGCGUAAAGGGCUCGCAGGCGGUUUCUUAAGUUUGAUGUGAAAGCCCCCGGCUCAACCGGGGAGGGUCAUUGGAAACUGGGAAACUUGAGUGCAGAAGAGGAGAGUGGAAUUCCACGUGUAGCGGUGAAAUGCGUAGAGAUGUGGAGGAACACCAGUGGCGAAGGCGACUCUCUGGUCUGUAACUGACGCUGAGGAGCGAAAGCGUGGGGAGCGAACAGGAUUAGAUACCCGGGUAGUCCCUGUCUCUUAUAC
Molecule: ribosomal RNA, 301 nt
Filed under: uncultured bacterium
Lineage: Bacteria
Description: partial 16S ribosomal RNA
Rfam family: Bacterial small subunit ribosomal RNA
Source: RNAcentral